GUGGGCAUAGAAAUUGCAGUUGAGUUAAUUUUUGGGUAUAGUAAUCUCUUGGGAAUCAACUCAGAAGCGCAUUUACUGAGUAAAUAAAAAUCUUUGAAGAUGUUUACUUAUAGAAAAUUGCAGUUAAAUUGUAUAUCUGAUCAGCAUGCCAAUUAUUUCAUGUAUUAAAUCAAGAUCCUCUUGCCUUCAGGUGGCUAAUGGACCACAUGAGUCAGCUUGGGUUCUUCAAGUCAUUGUCACAUUGGAUAGGCAGCAACCUCAAAAAAUCAGGAGAACAUGAGACAUGGGCUUUUAAUCUUGAAGGUGCGCUCCAAAUGUUCAAUUCUUACAGGGAGACCGAUUAUUGGCCUUUGCUGGAGCACCCACCUAAAGAGAUGGAGGUAGCUAUUGUGUGUGCUGAAAAGAGCGACAGGUGAUGUAGAUGUGAUUCAGAGGCUUGAACACCUUGCCAGUUGGAGGUCUGGUGCAUCUGAGGGGAAGGUAUCAGUUCAUGUGCUUCCCAACUCUGGCCAUUGGGUUCAUGUGGACAAUCCUAAGGGACUUUUGGAGAUUGUGGCUCCCAGAAUUGCUUCCAUAGCUUAAUUAGGUUCCACUUUGAAUCUAAGACAUUGGUGAUUUUUAGUAACAUUACGGCCUGUUAGGUUGUGUUUUCGUUUUUUAUAUUUUGUUUUCAAAUUAAAAAAUAAAUAAAUAA
This is a long non-coding RNA of Camellia sinensis, 694 nucleotides long. RefSeq lists it as uncharacterized. Lineage: Eukaryota; Viridiplantae; Streptophyta; Magnoliopsida; Ericales; Theaceae. The record is from RefSeq and is a predicted model, not a curated record.